Molecule: long non-coding RNA, 967 nt
Organism: Bos taurus (domestic cattle)
Lineage: Eukaryota; Metazoa; Chordata; Mammalia; Artiodactyla; Bovidae
Source: Ensembl
GAUAUAGAUAGAAAGUGGGGGUUUCCUUUUGUUUGUUUGUUUUUAACAUAUUUAUUUUAUCUUUUGGCCGUGGUGAGUCUUCAUGAUGCAGGUGGGCUUACCCCCAUCAGUUGUAGCCAGUCUUCCACUUAAAGGAGACUGGGGACAUAGUAGGUACCAGGUGGAAUUCACUUUCCGGCAAAAGUGGUGAUUGGAUGCUACGGGCUUCCCAGGACAGCAAGGGGAGAGUUUCUGGUUUCUGUUGCCCAGUUCUGAGGACAAGAGAACUGGAAAAUGUAUUCAGAACAGUGUCAGCAUCAGCGAGGCCACGGGUCGGUUUCAGGAAGGGCUGAUCUUUAGCUCCUGUCACCUACUGUGGCCAGUUGGAUUUGCUCUCUGUCCUGCUAACAGAGCACAUGGACACCAAGCAAGGGAUCUGCUGCGGCAGGUGGCCAGAGCCCCAGGCCGUCCUCUAGACUGCUGACAUGUGUGGUUUGAACUCCUUUGCCCAAACACAGACUAAAUGAUAAAAUACAUAUCAGUGUGGGCUACCUGGUAUUUUUCUCUGUCAUCUUUGUAAUCAAGCAUGAUUGAAGAAGCACGAAGUAGCAGGUGGCCCACACAGCGUCACCAGCUGCACAUGCUGGGCCUGUGCUUUCAAAGAUUUGCUGCAGAUUCCGGAAUCCAUCUUCCCACCGUGGGACAGGACUUGUCACAAAUAGCUUGGAUUUAUGGAUGUGCUUCUGCUGCAGAAAUCGUUUCACCUUUUGAGGUUUUCUAUAAGAAUUUCAACUUCCCGGUUUCCACUUCUGAGAUCCACCUUUUAAAAAAGUAAAUCAUUAAUUGAUCUUCCGGUGUUUGGACCAUGCCCAUGGCAGCAUUGUGGAGCAUGUAGGUGAAUGCUACAAUUUAGAGGCAAUUCAGAAGCAAUUCAAUCAACUUAUCUCUUUAAACACACUCCUACACCUCUGUGUACUCUCCUACACAU